Sus scrofa (pig) is the source of this 72-nucleotide transfer RNA. It matches the Rfam family "tRNA". Rfam says of the family: Transfer RNA (tRNA) molecules are approximately 80 nucleotides in length. The record is from Rfam. Lineage: Eukaryota; Metazoa; Chordata; Mammalia; Artiodactyla; Suidae.
CUCUAGCUGGUCCAGUGGCUAGGAUUCCUGGUUUUCAUCCAGGAUGCCCAGGUUCAAUUCCAGAGCAGGGAA